This 353-nucleotide transfer-messenger RNA is filed under the name Kiritimatiellia. RNAcentral's name for it is "UBA1067 sp002371755 Standard tmRNA". It matches the Rfam family "transfer-messenger RNA". Rfam says of the family: Bacterial tmRNA, also known as 10Sa RNA or SsrA, is named for its dual tRNA and mRNA-like properties. Its role is to liberate the mRNA from a stalled ribosome. To accomplish this part of the tmRNA is used as a reading frame that ends in a translation stop signal. Lineage: Bacteria; Pseudomonadati; Kiritimatiellota. The record is from RNAcentral. RNAcentral also lists the same sequence under 1 other name.
GGGGGUGAUCCGGUUUCGACGGGAUGUGUUGAGGUCGGGUUGCGCGUCGUGGAUCCUCGUUGGCCACGUAAAAAACGAGGGAAAAAAGUAAUUGCGAACAACGAUUACCGUCUCGCCGCCUAAAUAACGGCCGCGAUGUCGAAGCGCCGAUGUCUGCUGAGCGCCUAGGCAUAAUUUAGCAGGCCGCGCUGCAGGGGAUUCCACUUGUCCGCUGCAGGGUGUCGAAUCGAGUGGUUGGCUGGGGAUAAGCCCGUGCGUCGGCGUGCCCCUCCCGAGAUUAAUGGCGCAAUACACGCGUAGAUGCUCGGGUGAUGCCGUUCCGGACGGGGGUUCGACUCCCCCCACCUCCAAAA